Long non-coding RNA from Armigeres subalbatus, 1273 nucleotides. RefSeq lists it as uncharacterized. The record is from RefSeq and is a predicted model, not a curated record. NCBI's taxonomy places the organism in Eukaryota, Metazoa, Arthropoda, Insecta, Diptera, Culicidae. The transcript has 2 exons.
CGGGACGUGAUUGUCCCGAAGAACCGAUUAAAAAUUCAUGCAACCCAGAAGAGCUCACGAGACCAGCACCGCCAGAGGCGCUAGUGUAUUUUACUCACAUUUUGGUAAAUUUAUUUGAAAGUGUUUUGGUAAGUGUAGACUUUUUUGCUGUGAGUUUUGACAGAUUUCUGUCUGAGGUAAUAACCUCAAUCUUUGCGUUUAUUUUAUUUACGGUUCCCGGACCUAAAAAUCUGGCCAAGUUUCUCUUUCGUACACCGUCGCAGAACGAUUCCGAACUCGACCCUGGAAUCACUUAUCUCAAUCUACCCGUAAUGGUCUUAUCUUUAAAUCUUUAAAAAAUGAACAAAGCGGCUAUCCUCGAUGUGGUCUACAGUCCAGCGAAAUCGAUGCUACUGCUGAGUCGUGAAAAGUUAGCUCAAUUUUAUCGCUUGGACGGUGAAAUAGUUCUGGCGGAGGUAUACAAAGCGGAAUUUGUUACGCAAGAACUGGACCGGUGCAUGAACCACCCGCAGUACCGCAGCUACUACAGCGCUACCCCAAGGCUCGGGCUGACUAGAGUUCAAACGUGUUGGUGCUAUAUGCCCUGCGUCGGAAGUGCAAAGUGCUGGCCGAGCUGUGGAUAAUGCGAGGCCAAAACCGUCACCGGGACUAAUACACUGCGGUGAUGGAAAGUUACGGCAAACGAGAGUUACCAGGGAAGCUCUGGAGGAGUUUAACUUCACCGCUAUCGGAGAACUCCGCCUUUGGAUCACAUUUAUCUUUGCAUUUAUCCGGAACAUCACCGACAAACGCUCCCUAAUGAAGCUGGACGAUGGAGCAAGUUGCCACUCAAUUACCCAUUGCAACCGGACACGAUGAUCUGUUUGCGUUCCGCGAAGUCAUAGCGGAAUCGCAAACUUGUCGACUACUUUGUUACAAUUCCCCAUCGAGAAAGACAAUGGAACAGCAUAUAAUUUCAGCAGGGCUUUCAAGGCUUCACAGCACGAAAAUAAUCGAAUGCCAUUAGUGUUACCUAAUUUUACGUGGAAUCAAGGCACAAACCUUCUGCACCGCACAGUAAAAGUGUAAAAGUAGAAUUGGCAGCUCCUUAGAAGAUAACGAAUACGCUGGAUGUACCGAAAUCGUCCCAACAACAUGACGACUCGAAAUGUGAAAGAAACAUCGUCAAGUAACUAGUCCAUUUCAUAAAUGUAGUUGAUUAAUAUAAAUAUGUCUAUCGAACACAUUGAAGACCCGAAAUUCAUGAACAAGUUUUUACAGAAAGAUUUAAAAA